GCUAAACAAUCUGCUGUAAGCAAUUCUAUUAUAAACCAUUGCAUGAAUAGAUGGAGUAUCCCAUCCCAUACACACCAACCCCCAGACUAAGAUGCCUUCCAGUGUGCAAGAGAAGGAAAAGAAAAAAAUAAAAAUAAAAUGUCCGCAACACCAAAUACAUCAACUACCAUCUUUACUCGAGACAAUAAGUAGAAGUAGGCACAGAGACCUCAAAAUACAUGUGGUGAAAUCCGUAAUACAAUCCACAUAUGUCAGGUAUCCAAAAGUCUUUUUGAAAUAUCUUUCUCUCCAUUUACCCAUUCUUUCUGGCUCCCUUAGCUUGCCCAUAUAUCUGCAUUACAAAUUAAAAAAUUAGGUAUGCUUGUGGUUCAAAGAUGAAAACAAAUACCUGAAGUCUUGGGUUGUAAAGCUUCGAAAGGAAAACAUCGUAUCAAGUUUAUAGUGCCCAAAAAAAAUCUUAAAAUGAUAAGGGAAUAGAAAUCGAAGGUGCCGAACAAUUAGAAUAAAAAAGUACAAUAGGAUGAUUAAUAACACAUAUAUGUAGGAAACAACAACUAAACCAAAACUUGGGCCACUCAAUCAAAUCAUUCCACCAAACAACAACAUAACACAUGACAGUGAGAAUAGUCUCCAUUGCUAGCUGCCCUAGCCGGUUUACAUCAAACUGUAUAUCCCUCGAGACAUGUUAAGAUCAACUGUGAAAUACAAACAAAAUAACCCUUAAACCCCUAGGUAGCUGCAGUCGGUCUUAUGCACAGACUCUGCAACUGGUCUCUAAUGUGUUAUAAUCAAACUCCGAUCCAAUGAGUCAUCAAAUCAUCAAAGUGCUAUACUCAAUGUUCCGUAGAUUACCACCAACACAAUACCAAAUCGUCGUUGCUUUGUUUAAGUCCAUAAUUACUCAUUUAAAGCAGCUUGGUUUAUGUAGAUUCCGAUCUCAUAAGAUAGUGAAAGAGAUAGAGACCAAGAUUUUCACUAUUAGAUCCGUUCCUAGAAAGGAAGGCCAUUGCUCCAGCAGUUCUUAGAUCGAAUUGCAGGUUGUGAGCAUUGCAUCCGAGUCAACUACAUCCUCCAACAAUUCACACCAAUUCAAUCUUAGAUGAGCACACUUUUUUAAGGGACAGUAUUCAUGCCUCAACGUCGAAGAUGUGAGCUGGUGUGAAGACUCCCCUACAAAGAGCUCCACAUAAAAAGAUUGAUCUCUUUUACCAUAUUUUACUAACGAACAUUUACACAAAGACUAUCCUAUUAUAUGAAAUGUCAUGCUCAUGAAGAGCAAAGAAAGCAAAAGAAAAAGUCACUGUUACCCAUAUAUUAAAAAUCUAAGAGCAAGAGCCCAAGAGUAAAUGCUGAAUAAUGUAUAAAUUUAUAUAUUAAAUAUACUUUACACAAAAAAAAAAAAAAAAACAUGUUUUGAUCAAUAAUCAAAUUAUUGUGUUACUGAUGUUUCUAACCUACUUAAAAGAAAGUCAUUGUUCAAUCAAAUCACUAAAUCAAUAAUUCAGAUAGGAUAACUAAACAGUCCAGUCUAUGCAUCAACUAUGUUAAUCCUUCACAUUACCAGCCCAAAGAGAAUCACCACUUCCCCAUAUUCCAAAACUACUUUUACUUGUGCAAUAUCGCAAAUCCAUUGUCAUGGUUCAUAACCUUAAGUGUAUAGUUACAAAAAAACUAAAUACUUGAAAUUCGUAGGUAAAUUGGUAAGCUUAAGUGUAUGAUCAAAGAGAAGAGGUCCUUUCUCAGGUGAUAAACCGUACUUCAAUAUUUUAUUGAAGGUUAUGUGUAUCGAUUGCGUUUUUUUGGCGUCAAAGUUUCUUUUACACACACAUCUCAGAAAUACUGAACGCUCCUCUUUGACCCUAUUAUUUCCAAGUGAUGGUUUCCUCAAAUGCUAGUCCUACUGUUCCAAAUGUUCAUAGAGAUAUUCCCAUUAUUCUUUCAACUUUUGUAAGUCAUGGUUCAAUAUAACCUUCUCUUUCAUGCAGAUGAUAAUACAUUACACUAUUUGUAUAAAAUUACCUGUGAAUAGCAGCAUUUCUGACAGGGUUUCAAAGUAUAAAGUCUUCACCAACAGAGCUCAGAAUAACAACAAUUUAUCCGUGUGUUGUCUCUGCAUCUGAAC
This 2122-nucleotide long non-coding RNA is filed under the name Aquilegia coerulea. RNAcentral describes it as "long non-coding RNA (ACOE_LNC001427)". Lineage: Eukaryota; Viridiplantae; Streptophyta; Magnoliopsida; Ranunculales; Ranunculaceae. The record is from RNAcentral.